RNAcentral lists this ribosomal RNA (228 nucleotides) under uncultured bacterium. RNAcentral describes it as "partial 16S ribosomal RNA". It matches the Rfam family "Bacterial small subunit ribosomal RNA", at positions 524 to 748 of the family's 1533-position model. The record is from RNAcentral.
GACAGAGGGUGCGAACGUUUGUUCGGAAUUACUGGGCGUAAAGCGCAUGUAGGCGGCAGCGCAAGUCGGGCGUGAAAUCCCACGGCUCAACCGUGGAAGUGCACUCGAAACUGCGCAGCUAGAGUCCUGGAGAGGAAGGUGGAAUGCUUGGUGUAGAGGUGAAAUUCGUAGAUAUCAAGCGGAACACCGGUGGCGAAGGCGGCCUUACUGGACAGUGACUGACGGCUG